This is a non-coding RNA of Callithrix jacchus (white-tufted-ear marmoset), 782 nucleotides long. The record is from RefSeq and is a predicted model, not a curated record. NCBI's taxonomy places the organism in Eukaryota, Metazoa, Chordata, Mammalia, Primates, Cebidae.
CCAGGCACAGCCCCUGCUGUGGAACCUCCCUCCAGCCGCUCCCCUGUCCUGUGCCUCCAGCCUUACUGAACAAGGAGUAUUGGUGUUUGCUUGCUCGUUUUACGUUUAACAGUGAAACACCUUCUGUGAUGUAAACAAUGUCAGAGUGUCCUCGCACCCCCUGAUUCCUCCCAAAGCCCAGAAGGUAAAAGACAGCUGCUCUUCAGGUCUUAUGCUGGACAGAGAAUCUGAAUGGCUGUAGAGUUGCCAAUACUUUGCCUUUCUUUAACCCUCACCUUCCCUUCAAAACCAAACACUAGACACAUACUUGAAACGUGAACCUUCUGGAAACCAAGAAGUUGCCAGGACCCUCACCCACUCAGGUGGCUCCAUCACCAGGUGCACUGGAAUUGCGCCUGUGAAAAGAUAUUUCAUCAAAGCAUUCGUGGCAGAAACACACUUAAUCACGACGUUAUCGGUGUCGUGAAUUGAUGUGCCAGAAACACACUGGCUCUCCCUGGAGGCCAGACGUCCAUGUAGAAAUGGCCAGGAACAGCUCAGCCGGCAAACUGCUCCUGCAGAUGUUUCAAUGACUAUGGCUGCUUUUUGCUUAUCCACUCUGGACAGCACUUGGACACAUCCUAAAACACUGGGCCACUGAAUGCGACCCGAGGGUGAGACCACCAUUCUACCAUCCCAACUCAUCCGUGCAUCCACCCGUCCUAACAUCCUACCCCUCAUUCCAGAGGAAAAAAGAAUUAAAGAUAAAAAAGCAUUGUCUACUAUUGUGUCUUUGCUAAGAC